CCUACGGGAGGCUGCAGUGGGGAAUAUUGGACAAUGGGCGAAAGCCUGAUCCAGCCAUGCCGCGUGUGUGAAGAAGGCCUUCGGGUUGUAAAGCACUUUCAGUGGGGAAGAAAGCCUUGGGGCUAAUACCCUCGAGGAAGGACAUCACCCACAGAAGAAGCACCGGCUAACUCCGUGCCAGCAGCCGCGGUAAUACGGAGGGUGCGAGCGUUAAUCGGAAUUACUGGGCGUAAAGCGCGCGUAGGCGGUCUGAUAAGCCGGUUGUGAAAGCCCCGGGCUCAACCUGGGAACGGCAUCCGGAACUGUCAGGAUAGAGUGCAGGAGAGGAAGGUAGAAUUCCCGGUGUAGCGGUGAAAUGCGUAGAGAUCGGGAGGAAUACCAGUGGCGAAGGCGGCCUUCUGGACUGACACUGACGCUGAGGUGCGAAAGCGUGGGUAGCAAACAGGAUUAGAUACCCCAGUAGUC
RNAcentral lists this ribosomal RNA (465 nucleotides) under Vreelandella stevensii. RNAcentral describes it as "partial 16S ribosomal RNA". It matches the Rfam family "Bacterial small subunit ribosomal RNA", at positions 338 to 795 of the family's 1533-position model. Lineage: Bacteria; Pseudomonadati; Pseudomonadota; Gammaproteobacteria; Oceanospirillales; Halomonadaceae. The record is from RNAcentral.